UUAAGAUACUAAGGGCAUACGGCGGAUGCCUUGGCGAUAUCUGCCGAAGAAGGACGCGACAAGCUGCGAAAAGCUGCGGAGAGGCGCAAAUAGCCAUUGAACCGCAGAUAUCCGAAUGGAGAAAUCCGGCAGGGCUCAUCCCCUGUCAUCCAUGCCAUAGAGCAUGAGAAGGUAAGCCGGUGAACUGAAACAUCUAAGUAGCCGGAGGAGAAGAAAUCAAACGAGAUACCCCAAGUAGCGGCGAGCGAACGGGGCAGAAGCCCAAACCGGAGAAGGAAACUUCACCGGGGUUGAGGACCGUCAGAGCUUAAGAGGAAGUUAGCCGAAACGCCUGGGAAGGCGUGCCGAAGACAGUGAGAGCCUGGUAGGCGAAAACGGAGACUUAGGAGACGGAAUCCAGAGUACCGCGGGACACGAGAAACCCCGUGGGAAGCAGGGGGGACCACCCUCCAAGGCAAAACACAGAUAUCGACCGAUAGCGCAUAGUACCGUGAGGGAAAGGUGAAAAGCACCCCGGGAGGGGAGUGAAAUAGAACCUGAAACCGUAUGUUUACAAGCAGUCGGAGACCGUAUAUAUACCAGGUCGACGGCGUGCCUAUUGAAGAAUGAACCAGCGAGUUACGAGGACCGGCAAGGUUAAGCAGGAAAUGCGGAGCCGAAGCGAAAGCGAGUCUUAAUAGGGCGAGAGUCGGAAUGCGUAGACCCGAAACCACAGUGAUCUACCCAUGUCCAGGCUGAAACACAGGUAAAAAUGUGCGGAGGGCCGAACCUAUAUCUGUUGAAAAAGGUUAGGAUGAGGUGUGGGUAGGGGUGAAAUUCCAAUCGAACGUGGAGAUAGCUGGUUCUCCCCGAAAUAGCUUUAGGGCUAGCCUCAGGUGGUGAUUACAGGCGGUAGAGCACUGAUCAGGAGAGGGACCUACCCGGUUACCAAACCCAGUCAAACUCCGAAUGGCUGUAAUCAAACCUGGGAGUCAGACUACGACUUAUAAGGGCCGUGGUCAAGAGGGAAACAGCCCAGAUCAUCAGCUAAGGUCCCAAAUGCCGUGCUAAGUGGCGAAGGAUGUGGCGUUUCAUAAACAACCAGGAUGUUGGCUCAGAAGCAGCCACCAUUCAAAGAGUGCGUAAUAGCUCACUGGUCGAGAGACGCUGCGCCGAAGAUGUCCGGGGCUCAAGCACGGAACCGAAGCUAUGGCAGAUUGCUUGCAAUCUGGGUAGGGGAGCGUUCUUAUCACGGAGAAGCGGUACCGGAAGGAGCCGUGGAGAGGUAAGAAGUGAGAAUGCUGGUAUGAGUAUCGAAAAGGCUGGUGAGAAUCCAGCCCACCGAAAGCCCGAGGGUUCCUGAGCAACGAUCGUCGUCUCAGGGUAAGUCGGGACCUAAGCCGAGGCAAAGACGCAUAGGCGAUGGAGAACAGGUUGAAAUUCCUGUACCGGAGCAGUCCGUCUGAGCGAUGGAGUGACGCAGCAGGGCACACGAGCAUGCGGCUGGAAGAGCAUGUCCAAGCCCGUAGCCCGUAUGGCAGGGAAAUCCGCCAUGCAGAAGGGUGAGAGGUGACGGGGAGUUAAAGGAAACUUUGACGAACUCGUGAAUCCCACACUGCCAAGAAAAGCUUCUAGCGAGGACUGAUCCGCCCGUACCGUAAACCGACACAGGUAGGCGGGGAGAGAAUCCUAAGGUGCGCGGGAAAACCCUCGUUAAGGAACUCGGCAAAUUGCAUCCGUAACUUCGGAAGAAGGAUGGCCCUGAGUAGGCGAAGAGUCUAGCACUUGGAACCGGAAAGGGCGGCAGAAAAGAGGCCCAAGCAACUGUUUACCAAAAACACAGGUGCCUGCGAAAGCGAAAGCUGACGUAUAGGUGCUGACGCCUGCCCGGUGCUGGAAGGUUAAGGAGAGAGGUUAGCGCAAGCGAAGCUUUGAACUGAAGCCCCAGUGAACGGCGGCCGUAACUAUAACGGUCCUAAGGUAGCGAAAUUCCUUGUCAGGUAAG
This 1984-nucleotide ribosomal RNA is filed under the name human gut metagenome. RNAcentral's name for it is "bacterial LSU rRNA". It matches the Rfam family "Bacterial large subunit ribosomal RNA", at positions 1 to 1980 of the family's 2925-position model. The record is from RNAcentral.